Molecule: unclassified non-coding RNA, 336 nt
Filed under: soil metagenome
Description: partial contains 5.8S ribosomal RNA, internal transcribed spacer 2, and large subunit ribosomal RNA
Rfam family: 5.8S ribosomal RNA (bases 1-120)
Source: RNAcentral
GAUGAAGAACGCAGCGAAAUGCGAUAAGUAAUGUGAAUUGCAGAAUUCAGUGAAUCAUCGAAUCUUUGAACGCACAUUGCGCCCAUUAGUAUUCUAGUGGGCAUGCCUGUUCGAGCGUCAUUUCAACCCUCAAGCCUUAGUUGCUUGGUGUUGGGUGACUGUCCGCUUCACCGCGGACUCGCCUCAAAAUUAUUGGCGGCCGGUACAUUGGCUUCGAGCGCAGCAGAAACGCGAACUCGGGCCCGUCGUAUUGGCUCCCAGAAGCUAUCUUCACAAUUUUGACCUCGGAUCAGGUAGGGAUACCCGCUGAACUUAAGCAUAUCAAUAAGCGGAGGA